CAACUUUCAGCAACGGAUCUCUUGGCUCUCGCAUCGAUGAAGAACGCAACAA
This 52-nucleotide ribosomal RNA is filed under the name Conocybe rickenii. RNAcentral describes it as "partial 5.8S ribosomal RNA". It matches the Rfam family "5.8S ribosomal RNA", at positions 1 to 51 of the family's 154-position model. From Rfam's summary of the family: 5.8S ribosomal RNA (5.8S rRNA) is a component of the large subunit of the eukaryotic ribosome. It is transcribed by RNA polymerase I as part of the 45S precursor that also contains 18S and 28S rRNA. Functionally, it is thought that 5.8S rRNA may be involved in ribosome translocation. Lineage: Eukaryota; Fungi; Basidiomycota; Agaricomycetes; Agaricales; Bolbitiaceae. The record is from RNAcentral.